GUGUGGAUGGUGGGUCCCUAAGGGUUAGGGGGGCGCUAGAAAUUCUCCAGAGAUGGGCUGCUAGGGACAUGACUACCUUUAUGCUUCACUUUUAGGGUUGAGCAGGUAGGGGAGGCACCCAUGCAGAGACUCAGAAGCCCCGAACAGGUACACUUGGGAGUGUUGUACCUGUUGGUUUGCAAACGGUACUAUCAUUUGCUCAUACACAGUUCUAGCGGGCCAUGGAAAUCUUGUGUCAAAUUCAGCAGAAAUGGCCUCAAAUAUAAUUUGUUCUCCAAAGAACAUGAACCCAGAAGCAUGAGGCAAGACUCAGCUCCCAUUUUGGGUGCUAUGAAUUGAAACAACACUUUCACAUAUGAGUCCACCGUUCUUCUCCACCUUCCUGCUGCCCUUUCUCUUCAGUAUGCCUGGAGCUGUAUGCCCACGUUCAGUGCCAGAUCAAGUAGUGUGGAGAGGCAGUCCCCAGGAUGAUGAGGCCGUGCGUGAGGAGGAAGAGGCCAGCUGCAGCAACAACAGAGCUUGCAGCAUUGGAGGCCAGACUGCUCAGUGCCUGGAAGACAGAGUGUGUAUCGGAGUCUCAUCACAGCUUUGUGCAGGAUGCUCCGUUCUUUGCCUGUUAUACUCAAUGGUGCUUCCCCAGAGUUGUUUCUAAUACAGUCUGUGGCCUCUUAUCAGGCAGACCAUGGAUAGUUUGUCAUUGGAUCGCUCAGCGCUCUGCAGUCCAUUCCAUGAGACAGUUAGAAAACAUGUCUUGAGUGGGAGAAUGUGAGCAGCUCCCCACAGGCUGGCUUCCUGACUCUCUAUGACACUGAGCACUGAGAUGGGGAUCCUCAGUCUGCUGCCACUAUCUUCACUGACUUUCCCAAAGCUCCCAGAACUGUCCUCUGAAGACCUCUUACAAUAUGGCCUUUGACACCCUCUGGAGAACCCAGACUGUAGUUUUACCUCACAUAAAAAGGAGUGUUAGAGAAUAAUGGAAGCAACCUGAAGAGGUUGGAUACCCUAGAGCAGUGGUUCUCCACCUUCCUAAUGCUGUGACCCUUUAACACAGUCCGUACAGGGUGAUCAGGCCAAAGGGAAGAUAAUGUACUUUCAUCUGACAAGCAGUUGACGAAUUUGGACCUUCUUUUACCUUCCAAGAAAGGGAAAGAAGUAUUGGUGUGUGGUCUUAGUUCCUGUGGUUCUGGCUAUGCCCACCCUCAACCAACACAAUGAGCAGACAGUAGCCUUGAAAACACAGUAGGAGGAAGCAGUAACACUGCUGCUCCUGUGGGUAGCAGCCCUUCCUACUUCCUGCCCCAUACCCACCCAGGUGGGAAAGGCACACCCUGACUCCAGAAGCCACAGGGUCUGGCUAGCUAUGGCUGAGAACACAAGGUGGUUUAGGAGCUGGCACAUGUUCCUGAUGACUGAAGCUGCUGUAUAGACCCAGAAGUCCUGGGGUGGUUGAAGAGUUCCCAGCAAUGAAUGGGGGUCAUAGUUCUGGGCUUGGAAUCAAGAAAUGUAGACUCCCAUCUCUGCUGUCGUUAAUCUCUCUGUGUGUGACUGGGCAAGCUCCUUUCUACUCUGUGUUUCAGUUUUUCUCCCAUCACAUGUGGAAAAUGAACACAUUCACCUCAGAAGUGACGUCCCAAGUGUGUCAGUGGGCUAGCGGAAGAAUACAUGCCCUCUAACCUGUUCUGAGCUUUGUUUACCUAAACUGUGCAGUGGAGGCUUGGAACUAGAAAAAUUACCUAUGAGUUUCCAACUAAUACAACCAACUGGAGAUUGAUGGUCUUCAUACUUACAAAGGGUUUGGCUGAGGUUUUCCCAGAGAUAAUUGAGAGAGCUCCAGCAAUGGCAAACUGUUCAGGAGGGAAAGAAAAGAAAGAGAAGAGUUGGCCUAAACUGCUUUCAAACCACUCACAGAAAGCAGUGGGAAACCUCUAGGGAGACAAUCCUGCAGGAAUGACAUGUCCAUAUUGCUAGGGAGGCUUCAUAUCUACUUGGGAUGGUUAUGUAUGCUGACUUUAAAGAACAGGCAUCUGCUCAGGGAGGUUGAGUUUAUGUUAUUGGAAAGCAGCAGUUGCUGCAGGCAAGAUGCAACAGAUGCCUGGCAGAUGCUACUAAUAUUGAAAGAGGAGGUUGGGGGUGAUCAAUGACUUGAGACAAUAUGGAGAUAAGGAAACCAACAGAAGUACCUAUGAAAGAGCCUCUGAUACUGCAAAGGACAGAGAAAUAUGGAAUUGAAGCUAUUGGUGUAUGUGGAAUGAGUAUUAUCCAGAGUUUAGGAAACCAGGAGGACAAGAUCCAACAUAAAACCUUUAUUAUAACUGCCUAGAAGGCGGUUUUUUAUUCCAGUGGUACUAGGAUCCCAGCAAGCAGAGGUAUGGUGGUCUGGGAAGCUGAAACAUUGAUUAUGCCUGUGGCUUGAGUAUUGGGUAUUCACAGAUAAUGAGAGACAAAAAUGAACUAGCAGUAGAUUCACUAAUGAAAUAUGGAGGCUGCCACCACUGGUUAGACAGUGAACUCCAGGACAAAUUGUGCUUUGGGGACAGGAGCAGACUUCCUUGCACACUGUAUAGUUGUGUCCAGGCAGGGACCAUGGUCACUAAAACCCCUUUGUAUAAUUCAUCUUCUUAGAAUGUGCCUCUUUCCCUCGUUUUUACAAGAUUUUCUACGAAGAGAAAUGAUCGUUGGUAGGAGGAACACAUGGUGCCUAGCUACUCUCAAAAUAAACUGCAGUAGGGCCCUUGCCCAUGAGUCAUUAUAUGACAAGAAGCCCCCAAACUCUACAGAUGUUUAGGGUUACCUGGAAGCAGAAGAAUGCCUCUAUUUCCUAUGAAUCUUGUCAUUACUGAGAUAAAUGUCUGCAAACCUGUGACAUCUGAUAGAGGCCCCAGGUUACUGUUUAACCAGUGUUUUUCACUCUCUACCUGAGAAGUGGAUUACCCUUAAAAUGGGUAGAAUCUAAUGGCCUCUUCAAAGCCCCAAAGAGGGCUGUAAUAAUAUCCCUCUUGUCUAACAUGAUGUGGUGUCAGAUAAGAAAUGUGCUGAUAUGCUCAGUGUGUUGUCUUUUCCUCCUGCCUCCUGUCCUAAUCAGAUCCCUCCUGAGGUGCUGAUUUUGAAUAGGCAAGACAGGACAUGAGAUGAUGACAGGAAUGUUGAGCUGGCUUUCUCUUGCAUUCUUUCCUCUUGAAGAGGAAGCUAUUCUAUGACUGAAUGCCUGGUGUAUAUUUAGGAGGCAUAAAUGCUUUUGGAGAUCAAACUUUACUUACAUACAGGGAUCCAACAAAUGGGUACCCGGACAUCAAAGUGGUGGAGGCUGCUGGGUUGAAGUAGGGAGAGUAGGAAACUGACACCAAAAUGCCCCCCAAGCCUGCAAUCGUCAGGGCACAUAGUAUCUGGAUGGUCUGCAACAGACAAGACAUGGACCUCUAGAAUAUGUUUUUAAGUGGAUGCAAAGGAUUAUUUGAAUAUACACUGACUUAUAAGGAGUGUAAAAUAUGUUAUGAUUUCCUGUAUUAAAAAGGGUAAACCCCACAAGUACCAAAUAUGCCUAUUCUAAGAGAAAAAAAAUUCAAAAUUUACCUCUUUUAUUUUGAAAGGCUCAUUAAACUCAGAAAGUGAUCAUUUGAAUGUUGUAAUUAUGAAAAAACUACUUCACAAAGCAUUUCUUUGUGUUGGAAAAGUCAUUGGGAAAAGUUGUUUGGACUAGAGCACAGUUAAGAAAAUAUGGAGAAGGAACUUCCCACAGGAGUGUCAAUGCAGGCCUCAGCUUCAACUGAGAGUUGGUGAGCAUCGUAUUUCUAGUGCUGUCUCCCAUCCAUUUUUAUUUGUGAUUUGAAUUUAAGAAUCGCUCUGAUUGUCGCAGCACCAAGUGUCAGACUAGUUAACAUGUUUCAAGUGUCUGCAUUCUCAGCAGUAUUUGUCACAUCCGUGUUACAGAUGAGGAACACGAGGGAGUUAAGUUGUACAAAACCACACAAAUGUCAAAGACCUGGAAUGUUGUUUGGACUCUGCAAUUUGAAUGGGAAUCCAUAUUUUUAUUCACUGCUGGGUAUAUAUUGUAAUUUACACACAAACAAAGUAAAUCAAAAGUACAAGAUGCUAUCUAUUACCACAAUUCAUCAUUGAAUAUCCACAAUUCAUCAUUGAAUAUCCACAAUUCAUCAUUGAAUACCCAUGUACCAAGAGGCAGGCAUGAAACAAAUGAAAGUCAUUGUGUAGAAUCUUACCUCUUACUUGUACCAUGUAAGGACAGGUUUCAUGGCAACUGAGAUGAAGUAUUACUAGAGCAUGUUAUCAAGGAUGGGGCCAUCAGGGAUAGAGAUUUGUGGCUAAAUAGAUGGGAGACAUUGUAAUACAAUAGAAGAUCCAGAAGAGAACACACACAGAUAUAGCAACCUAAUAUUUAACAAAGGUGUCUUCAACAAAUGGUGUUGGGGAAACUGGAAACCCACGUGUCAAAGAAUGAAGCUAGAGCCCCAUCUCUCACCUGCUCAUAAAUAAUUCAAAAUAGAACAAAUACAUUAAGGUAAGAUCUGAAGCUCAGAAACUGCCAGAGGUAAACAUCAGGAAAACACUUCAAGAUGAAGGGAUUUUAUGAAAAGGAGCCCAAUAAUUCAGAUAACAAUGGGAAAAAUCAACAAGAUUGCAUGGGAUGGAAAAGUUUCUGCCUAGCAUUGGAAACAAAUAGGAGAGUGAAAUUACAGACUAAAACAUGGGAGAAAACCAUUGUUGACUAUAUAUCCUUUGAAUAGCCCCAAAAGUUAAACGCUAAGAAAACCAAAGCAAUCAAUAAAUAGGCUCAUGAGUGGAAUAAACAAUUCUCAAAACAAAUAAGGAUAGACUACAAAUAUUUUAAAUAACAUUCAGCAUCCUAAUGACUAAUUAGAGCAAUGUAAAUAAAAGCUGAUUUCAGAUUUCUUCUCAUCCCAGUCAGACUGGCUAUCAUCCAGAAAACAAAUGACCACACAUCUGAUGAGGAUGUGAGGAAAGAGGAACUGUUAAAUGCUGCUUAUGGGAAUGUAAAUCAGUGUGGCCACUGUGGAAAUCAACAUGGUGGUUCCUGGAACAACUAAAACUAAAUUAGAACCAGCGUAUGAUCUAGAGGAUGACUUCUGGGUAUGUCCCCAAGGGAAUCAAAGUCAGCAUAUCACAGAGAGGCCUGCACAGCCAAGCUCAUUGCUAUACAAUAGCCAAGGCAUGGGGCAAUUUAGAUGUCCAUCAGCAGCUGAAUAGAAAAACAAAAUGUGGUCUUUACCCACAAUGUAAUUUUAUUCAACCAUGAAGAAGAAUAAAAUAAUGUCAUGGUAAUGGGUGGAACAAAGGAUCAUCAUACUAAAUAAAAUAAGACCAACUCAGAAAGACAAAUAAUGUCUUUUCUCUAUCAUGAAAAAUAUACAUUUAAAUAUAUAUGUAUGUGUAUAUCCAUAAACAUGAGACUGGAAGAAACACUGCUAGGGGAGAGGAAGUGGUCCAAGGUGGGAGAUAAGAGAAAACAAUGAGAGGGAAAGACAAGUGCCAUGCUCUCCUUUCAUAUACAGAAUCUGAAGUUGUGCACUGUAGGUACACACACACACACACACACACACACACACACACACACACACACACAUCUUUUCACACAUGCUCAUGGUAAAAAAGCAAAGAGAAAAUAUUUGGGAGAGAAAGAAAACCACCAAGAGGGUGGGAAGCAAUCAGGAAUGUAAUCAGCAGGCAAGUAUAUAUAUCAUCUAUCUACCUGUCUGUCCGUCUAUCUAUCUAUCUAUCAUCUAUCUGUUGAAAGCAGUGGGAGUGAUAUAAGGGCCAAGGUCUUGGUAUGCAGGUAGUGAAAUAAUCACUGAGUAGGAUGACACGAGUUUCUAGAGUGGGAAUUUCCAGGGGUGAGAAGACAGCUAAAAGAUUGAUCUCAGAGUCCUGAAAAGCAAAGACAGUGCUGACUUCCUUUCAAUGACUUGGGGUGAGAAUUGCUGACAGAGUGUCUUCUGGAAGCAAUGUGCUGCUGAGUCAACAAAGAAGAGAGAGAAAAAAAUGGAUAAAGAGUCUAAUGAUUAAGAUUUAAGAUGUGGUAAGGAAUUAUGCUGGUAUAGAUAGCUAAGUGGCUAUAGGAGAUUAUUUUUCUAAGACCCAUAACCUUACUAGUCUCAGGAGGCUGGCUAGGUUUCCCCUCCCAGGCAUGAUUUCCCUCCUGCUGAAUUGGCCUUAAGUCCAUUUAGAUAGCUGUUGGUUGCCACUGACUUGUGGGUGCCACUUACUUCACCUCUAUUCAUAUCUUGUUAUGCUGGUUAGUUGUGGAUCAUAGUAUUGUAGCUGGGUAGGACUGUUUGUUUCCUUUCCUUGGCAUAGUAUUUUCUGGAACCAUGGAAACUAAACCAAAGGAAAGAUGCUUUUAGAACCAGCUUGAAUCACCUGAGUCCUGUCUCCUAAGUCUGCAGUGUCUUCAGCAGUAAGGACCCUCCCCCAAACCCUGAGAAGCAAACAAGGGGCUACAUCAAUUAUCUGUACUGUUUUGGGAGUCACUUAGUCUACCCUGCUCAACCCGAAUCCCAGAAGACACAGUUGGUAAGGUUUCUGAAGAUGGGAAGGAAUAGAGGUUGGGUCUUAAUAGGAAGAAUUUAGAACCCAAUGAUGAAUAGGGUCCAGCUUAUGAGGAAUAAUGAUGUUGAUACUUAGAUGUCUUACAGCAGCUUAUGUGGACACAGAGAAAUGUGUGGAUAAAGGUGAUCUAGAUGGUGUCAUCUGAAAAUGUUUGAAAACCAAACUUCAAGUAGGAAGACCUAAUUUAAUCAGACUAAAUAAAUAAAAUCAUGCAUCUAAGUCAAAAAUCUGCACUAAAGACACAUGAGAAGAAACUAAUUUCUUAAUUAUUCAGUUUUCUGUUGAAAAAAAGCACAAGUGGGUUUAAUUACUUAGUUAUUUAAUUAAAUGAAAGCCCCUAGGAGAGUAUAGUUUCCAGAACAGCUGUAUUUCACAUUCUGGUUAGCUUGUGGAGUCAGCCAGAAACAAGGCAAGGACGCUCCCAGACCCACCAAACCUCUGUAGUCUCUGUAUAUCUCUUCCUUGUUCUCUUUCCACCAAGAUGGACUUACCCCAAGAACUGUGGCUUCCUUCGGCACACCAACCAGCAGCUCAUCUCCUUUUUGGUAUGUGUGUCCAGCUUUCUCUCUUUUGUGAAUAACGAUGUCCAUUGGAAGGCAGGCACCCAAAUCCCAAGCCGUAGAAGUGUGACACUGACGAGGCUAGAAGAGGCACUGAACUCAUUAGUUCCUAGGGCUUGACUGACAGACACUCACAGGCACCAGAGUCUGCAGGGAGUGAAGAAGGAUGACUUUUCUUUAGAUGAGAAUUGGGUACAUGUAGGGUGUGAUGACCAUAGACUGGCUUGUUUUCUACAAAUAGAACUGGAUCUGAGUUUCAGGGAGAGCAUAGGAGAGCUAGUCGGUUUGCUGCACUUCAUUCAUGAUGAAAAAGAAACAUGCUUUUGGGGAAAAUUGCAAACAUUUCAAGGAACCCCACAAUUUGGAUGUUAGUAAUUCAAAUAGAAUUUGCUCUGCAGCCCUGAGUGUAUUCACCUCACUGCCUGCCCUGCAAAGCCUUUAGUUUUAGGUCCCAUUCUCUACCUCUUGUACUCCUGCUUCUUUAUAGUACAAUCCUCUGUCACAUCUCCCAGAACCUUAUACUGAAGCUACAUUUAUGCUGUCUAAUCCUCCACUGUUCAUUUUCUCUCCAUUAAAUGAUUGGAUGAGUGCUUUUCUGUCUAUAAAAAAGAACACAUCUAAUCUAGAAUGUGCAUCACUUCUGUUUUUUAAAACCCACAUUGAAUUCCAGGCACUGGAGCACCAAAGGUCUUACUCCUUCUAAGAGUCUUACAUCCUAGAUGCUAAGUCCAUUUCAUAUAUUAGCAGCUCAGAACUACUAAGUUCAUUUCAUUAACUGAAAGUCACAAAAAGCACUUACCUGCUGCAUCACAUGUGUUUAAUACACUGUAGCAAAUAUAAUUAUCAUUAGUCUGUUGUUUGCCUAACUUGCAUGUACCUGGGCUGUGUCUACUGGGCUCAGGAUCUUAACAAUAUUUUCCUUUAUGUGACAAUAAUUUCCUCUCUGUGACAUUUCACCUUGCCUUUUCUUCCAUCCCAAUAUUGACAGCUCUGCUCCAGGAGAAAACAGUGCUCCACCAGGUUGACAGUACCGAAAUGAACUCCAGACUCUUGUUAUUUGUGGGGGCAGGUGGGGAUGGUACUGCAAUGGAGUUGCAUAUGUCUGCCACCUGACACCAUCACCUCCAAAUCCAACAAUGGAGAGGGGAUGCUUUGCCCUUUGGUGUUCGUUAUAACGAGGUGAAUGGGAGUGGCCCAUAGCUUUUGAAAAAGUUCAAAAAUUCCUACCAUUCAGGCAAACAGCUCUGCACAAUACUUUUCUGUGUUACAAUAUUAGAUUAGAACUAUAGUUUUCAAAUUCAACAUUUGAUCAAAUCCCAGUCUUCCUUGAGAACAUGUUUUUGUAAAACUGAGUGACUACAGUGAGGAAAUGCAGGCAACUUUAGAAGAUCAUCACUUCAAAUCUCAAGUGAAAUCAAAGGGUAGUUUGCCUUUUGGCAGGUAAGUAAGUGAAGGCCCCAAAUGGGCAUCUGACUCACCAGUUCAUACAGAUGGUCAACAGAAAGGUCAGGAUGUGAAUCUAGUUCUUUGGUUGUCUAUCCAGAGCUCAAUCUCCCCCAGGGGUUACAAUCCAAACCAAGGCACCAGGUGGUCAACAGAAAAGACAGGAUGAGAAUCCAGUUUCUGUCUGUCAGAAGCACAAUCUCCCCCAGGGGUUCUAACUCAACCUAGUGUACCUACCUGUCCUCACAGCCCUGUGCUGUGUGCUCCUGUGCCUGCUCACUCAGGUCCGGGGAGUUCUCAGGCACAACCUCCCACCAGCUCUUUCCUCCAGAAGUUUUGAAACUCAGACGGUCUGUAUGCUUUCCCCGGAAGGUAUUCGUGAUUACUCAGGAUGUGAAUUUGUGGUUAUUACAAGCAGUUGGCAAAUGAAAAGCUUCUCUGCUUCCCCUUUCUGAAUUUUGAGGUUUGGGAAAAUAACACAAAAUGAAAGCAUCUCAUGAAACAAAGAGUUCUGUGGGAAAUAAUCCCCUGCGCUUCUAUAUGUAGUGAAGUAAGCACAUUGGUGAUAUUAAGUCUUUCUUCUUAUCUGCUGAAUGAAGGAUGGAUAUUAGUAAUUCUGCCAUCUGGCUGUUGCAGAAGUAACAAGAAAGGAAGAGUUUACAAAAGAGAAUUAUUGCUAAUAACAAUUGUACAUUUGGAUUUGAGAGAAUUUCAAUUUUUUUUUGUGUGUGUAAUCCUUCUAGACAUUGAAGAAAAAAAUUGAAGAAGACACCAGAGGGUGGAAGGAGCUCCCAUGCUUAUGGAUCAUUAAUAUUGUGAAAAUGGCCAUCCAACUAAAGGCAAUCUAUAGAUUGAAUGCAAUCCCCAUCAAAAUUCCAGCACAAUUCUUCAACUUCAUAUAGAAAUAUAAAACAAGUCAGUUUAGCUAAUAUAAUCCCGAAUUUAAAAAAAAAAAAAAA
This is a long non-coding RNA of Peromyscus leucopus (white-footed mouse), 9544 nucleotides long. RefSeq lists it as uncharacterized. The transcript has 2 exons. NCBI's taxonomy places the organism in Eukaryota, Metazoa, Chordata, Mammalia, Rodentia, Cricetidae. The record is from RefSeq and is a predicted model, not a curated record.